Molecule: ribosomal RNA, 123 nt
Filed under: Neolamprologus brichardi
Lineage: Eukaryota; Metazoa; Chordata; Actinopteri; Cichliformes; Cichlidae
Source: RNAcentral
UAUUAUGGCCAUGAUACCGUGAGCAUACCUGAUCUCCACUGAUUACGGAAGCUAAGCAAGGUUGUGCCUGGUUAGUACAUCGUUGGGAGUUCACCUGGUAAUAGCUCAAAAGGCCUGUGAGAC